RNAcentral lists this ribosomal RNA (423 nucleotides) under Boana xerophylla group sp. ABGD cluster 30. RNAcentral describes it as "partial large subunit ribosomal RNA". It matches the Rfam family "Bacterial large subunit ribosomal RNA", at positions 1835 to 2457 of the family's 2925-position model. Lineage: Eukaryota; Metazoa; Chordata; Amphibia; Anura; Hylidae. The record is from RNAcentral.
CUUGACAGAUAUAAGAGGUCCAGCCUGCCCAGUGACCUAGUUCAACGGCCGCGGUAUCCUAACCGUGCGAAGGUAGCGUAAUCACUUGUUCUUUAAAUAAGGACUAGUAUGAAUGGCACCACGAGGGUUUAACUGUCUCCUUUUUCUAAUCAGUGAAACUAAUCUCCCCGUGAAGAAGCUGGGAUUUUUUUAUAAGACGAGAAGACCCUAUGGAGCUUUAAACUAUUUUACACCUGCUGCCCACAAACCAACUUCCAGAAAUUAACCCUAAAGCAUAGCACUUUGAUUAAUAGUUUUUGAUUGGGGUGAUCGCGGAGUAAAAAAUAACCUCCACGACGAAAGGAUUUUUCCUGAGCCAUAAGCCACAGCUUUAAGCACUAAUAUUAUUAACGGCUAUUGACCCAAUAAUUUUGAUCAACGAAC